GCUAGGAUGAACGCUAGCUACAGGCUUAACACAUGCAAGUCGAGGGGCAGCAUAUCGAAAGCUUGCUUUGAUGAUGGCGACCGGCGCACGGGUGAGUAACGCGUAUCCAACCUUCCCUAUACUAGAGGAUAGCCCGGCGAAAGUCGGAUUAAUACUCUAUGUUCUUCGUAGAAGACAUCUGAAAUGAAGCAAAGGUUUACCGGUAUAGGAUGGGGAUGCGUCUGAUUAGGUUGUUGGCGGGGUAACGGCCCACCAAGCCCACGAUCAGUAGGGGUUCUGAGAGGAAGGUCCCCCCACAUUGGAACUGAGACACGGUCCAAACCCCUACGGGAGGCAGCAGUGAGGAAUAUUGGUCAAUGGACGAGAGUCUGAACCAGCCAAGUAGCGUGCCAGGAUGACGGCCCUAUGGGUUGUAAACUGCUUUUAUACAGGGAUAAAGUGCACUACGUGUAGUGUUUUGUAGGUACUGUAUGAAUAAGGACCGGCUAAUUCCGUGCCAGCCGCAGC
Molecule: ribosomal RNA, 507 nt
Filed under: uncultured bacterium
Lineage: Bacteria
Description: bacterial SSU rRNA
Rfam family: Bacterial small subunit ribosomal RNA
Source: RNAcentral